Molecule: ribosomal RNA, 519 nt
Filed under: Escherichia coli
Lineage: Bacteria; Pseudomonadati; Pseudomonadota; Gammaproteobacteria; Enterobacterales; Enterobacteriaceae
Also listed under: 4 other names
Description: partial 23S ribosomal RNA
Rfam family: Bacterial large subunit ribosomal RNA
Source: RNAcentral
GUGGGUAGUUUGACUGGGGCGGUCUCCUCCUAAAGAGUAACGGAGGAGCACGAAGGUUGGCUAAUCCUGGUCGGACAUCAGGAGGUUAGUGCAAUGGCAUAAGCCAGCUUGACUGCGAGCGUGACGGCGCGAGCAGGUGCGAAAGCAGGUCAUAGUGAUCCGGUGGUUCUGAAUGGAAGGGCCAUCGCUCAACGGAUAAAAGGUACUCCGGGGAUAACAGGCUGAUACCGCCCAAGAGUUCAUAUCGACGGCGGUGUUUGGCACCUCGAUGUCGGCUCAUCACAUCCUGGGGCUGAAGUAGGUCCCAAGGGUAUGGCUGUUCGCCAUUUAAAGUGGUACGCGAGCUGGGUUUAGAACGUCGUGAGACAGUUCGGUCCCUAUCUGCCGUGGGCGCUGGAGAACUGAGGGGGGCUGCUCCUAGUACGAGAGGACCGGAGUGGACGCAUCACUGGUGUUCGGGUUGUCAUGCCAAUGGCACUGCCCGGUAGCUAAAUGCGGAAGAGAUAAGUGCUGAAAGCA